GUCCAGACUCCUACGGGAGGCAGCAGUGGGGAAUAUUGCACAAUGGGGGAAACCCUGAUGCAGCGACGCCGCGUGAGUGAAGAAGUAUUUCGGUAUGUAAAGCUCUAUCAGCAGGGAAGAAAAUGACGGUACCUGACUAAGAAGCCCCGGCUAACUACGUGCCAGCAGCCGCGGUAAUACGUAGGGGGCAAGCGUUAUCCGGAUUUACUGGGUGUAAAGGGAGCGUAGACGGCAUGGCAAGUCAGAUGUGAAAGCCCGGGGCUCAACCCCGGGACUGCAUUUGAAACUGCCAGGCUGGAGUGCAGGAGAGGUAAGUGGAAUUCCUAGUGUAGCGGUGAAAUGCGUAGAUAUUAGGAGGAACACCAGUGGCGAAGGCGGCUUACUGGACUGUAACUGACGUUGAGGCUCGAAAGCGUGGGGAGCAAACAGGAUUAGAUACCCGAGUACG
Molecule: ribosomal RNA, 448 nt
Filed under: uncultured bacterium
Lineage: Bacteria
Description: bacterial SSU rRNA
Rfam family: Bacterial small subunit ribosomal RNA
Source: RNAcentral